RNAcentral lists this long non-coding RNA (2334 nucleotides) under Fragaria vesca (wild strawberry). RNAcentral's name for it is "long non-coding RNA (FVES_LNC003499)". The record is from RNAcentral. Lineage: Eukaryota; Viridiplantae; Streptophyta; Magnoliopsida; Rosales; Rosaceae.
CUAUGCAGCUAUCAAUGUAACUAUCCAUGUAACUAUCCAUCUAUGUAAUUAUCAAUGUAACUAUCCACGUAUGUAACUAUGCAUGUAAUUAUCCAUGUAACUACAGUUUGAUAGUUACCUGGGUAGUUACAUACACGCUACACUUGUGUUCACUUAUGUAACAACAAAACCUGUCUAUGCAGCUAUUAACUAUGCAUGUAACUAUCCAUCUAUGUAAUUAUGCAUGUAACUAUCUAUCUAUGUAACUAUGCAUGUAACUAUCCAUGUAACUAUGUAUGUAACUAUGCAUGUAACUAUCCAUCUAUGUAACUAAACUAUCCAUCUAUGUAACUAUGCAUGUAACUAUGCAUGUAACUAUGUAUCUAUGUAACUAUCCAUGUAACUUUUCAUCUAUGUAACUAUCCAUGUAACUUUUCAUCUAUGUAACUAUCCAUGUAACUACAGUUUGAUAGUUACAUGGGUAGUUACAUACAUGUUACAUUUGUGUAACGACAUUAACCUGUCUAUGUAACUAUCAAUGUAACUAUGCAUGUAACUAUCUAUCUAUGUAACUAUGCGUGUAACUAUCAAUCUAUGUAACUAUCAAUCUAUGUAACUAUCUAUCUAUAUACAGAUUGCUAAUUACAUGGGUAGUUACAUGGAUUUUAAUAGAUUUAUGUUCUGAGAUUGUCGUUAGUCGUUUGGUCUUUGCAUUGAAUCAUUUGAACAAAGUCGGGGAAUAAUUCCAAAUCAAAAUGAUCAAUUAACUUAGUCCAGAAUAGAAAAUGAUCAUAGUCCUCACAAUUACUAAGGACACCCAUCUUGCUCAACUUAGAUUCUCCAUAGGCAUCACCUAUCUAUUUCUUGUUGUCAGCUACACUUUUCCAUCUCUAUAACAAUCAUACUUCAAAGCUUUACUCCUUCAUAAUCAGUAAACUAACAAUGUUAGCAACUACAUGAAACUUCCGCCACCCAAAACAAUAACUUCACAGUGGUCACCCAUUGCCGGAAUCCCAACUGCUUCCAAUUCUCCAAUUCAUCUAAUUCCAACAUAUAUAACAAUCACAAACAUGCUUUGAGAUUCAUAACUACUGGAAAUCACUAAACUAAGAUUGAAACACCACCAUGUACCACCACUGCCAACACCAAACACAGUAAACCCAAACAAACCUGCAACUCAGCUCUCUACCUCCAAUUCUACAAUUUAUAUAAUUCCAGACAACAUAAUAAUCAUCAAUCCAACUCCAGCAUACAAAUUCAAAACCAAAAAACAAUAGAAACACCUCCACCACUGUCGUGCACAGCAGCACACACGGCGGUCCUCCUCUGCCAAAACCCAACUUCUUCAACACCCAACCAAUCUCAAUUCCAAUUAUAGAAACAUGUAAAGCUCAUCGAAUAGACCAACUUUAAUACCUGUGUCGAAAUAGAAGCUCACCGGAAUCCGUCAAACUCUCACCGGAAAAUCCCAGAACUUCUUCUCUUCGAUUCUCCCUCCUCCAAGCUUCUCUUCAAAAAAUAAGGUCAUAGAGACGUUCUCCAGAUUGAGGCGAAGCUACCACCACCAUUCAUGUCCGCCGCCGUGGCCAGAUUCGUAAACUCGCCGGUGAACCCAGAAAGUACUUCUCUCCUCCGAUUCUCUUUCAGCAUCGCUUCUCCAUGAAAUCUGAUACAACAGAGAUGUCAGGGACGACGAGAUGAAGACGUGGACACCAGUCCUGCGCCGGGAGGCGGCCGGACGACGGAGGAGCAAUUCGCAGCUCCACCCUGCUGCAAAACGUCGACGUCUCGACGAGGUCGGUCUGGACUGUGUAUUUUUGGGAGCGAGAGAAAUGAUUAUGGUUAAUGUGUUGUUAUUUUUGUCAGUGGCAUGACAUGUAAUUUUUUAAAAAUUUAUGGGUAACGGUUUAAAGAAUUUAAAUGUGUGUAUUGUUUUAUCAUCAAGGAACAUUUGUUAAUAUUUUUAUCAUUUAUUACUUCUAAAUGUACAAUUUUAUCAUUGGCCCUUAAGUUAUUUUGUGUCCAAGUUGGUUUGAACCUUUGAAAACUUGGAAUAUCUUUACUUUCAUGAAAAUAUGUCUUAAAUUCCAAGCUUUUCAGAUCCGAAAAAAAUCCGAGAUCUGAACCGGUUUUUUUCGGAUUCAGAUUCAUUCGGAUCGUGUAUUUAAAAAUACAAAUCCGAUUAGAAAUAGUUAAACAAUUCGGAUCGCGGAUUCGAAUGCAGCCCUAGUAGAAAUUGUAGGAUAAACACAUAUAUGAUUACCACUUUUAGAACGUAAUCAUUCAAAUGAGAAUCUACUGUGAUCUAAUAAACACAAAUGCAUGUUUUUUCUUAGUUAUCACCGUUCGUCGUUA